This is a long non-coding RNA of Lagopus leucura (white-tailed ptarmigan), 4848 nucleotides long. RefSeq lists it as uncharacterized. The transcript is spliced from 3 exons. Lineage: Eukaryota; Metazoa; Chordata; Aves; Galliformes; Phasianidae. The record is from RefSeq and is a predicted model, not a curated record.
GGCGGCGGGGCCGGGCGCUGCCGCGAUGCUCCGCCGCAGCCUGAGCCGCCUGGUCUGCCUUGGUGAUGAUGUCUCAUCUGCUUCCUCACCUUCACUGCUGUCAGUGCCACGUGGAUGCCAAUAGCCCACAGGUCAGGAAGGCAGCCUGUCCUCUGCAUGUCCCUUGUGCAAUGCCUUGGGCUCAGCUGCUUGGUGUCUUUCUGGACAGUAACCAGAGCAGACUAGGUUGGCACUGUGCAGUCUUUGUAGCAGGCUGUUACUUGCAAUUUGUGUGCUUCGUGCUGCUUUACUGUGGAGGUUUUCCAUCUGGGGCUCAUUUUAUUUAAUUACAAAACUGUAUGCAUACUGCCACAAAGUGGGGUGAUAAAGGACAUGCGUGCAGGAGCUGGUUCCUGUGCUACCUGUGGCUGCCAGCUAGUGACCCAAGCAGUCUGGCAGUGCCUCACCGCCUGCUUGCACAUCCUCCAGAGUGAGCUUUGCUUGCUUCUUGUGUUAAGCCUGUGACAGGGGAGGGCUUUUUCCCUUGUGCAAACAAUUGCAAAUUUACUUUCAUAAUCCCUUCCUGGAGCACCCAGAUGCUGGGUCCUGUCUCUGCAGAUGGAAGUUCCCAUGCAUACAAGCAGUGCUUGGCAAGAAGUGCAAGUUAUGCUUUGGACAAGGUGGUUGUACAAUGUCCCUUUGUAUUUUGAAAGUCAUCUUACGUGAUUUGCCCCAAAACCCCAUGCAGAGGAACACUGGUGUUGCAAGGCUUGGGUGGGGGCUGCCUGGGUGCAUUCCUGCUGUGCUGCCCUGCCCUACCAACUUAGUGCUUUGAUGCUCCCUCCACCUUCCCCAGGGCAUAAAUCUCUGUGAUCGGAGCAUUUUGACCUCUUGUGUCACCUAAGCCUUAACUGCCUGGCCCCCCUGUCCUCUGGGAAGGAGCAAAGGCAGAAGAAAGGCCUGGGAAAAGGCAUGUGUUGACUCAAGAGGUGUGUGCCGGAGGUUGAUCAGAUCCUGCCUGAGAAGCCUGGGGCUCCUGCAGCAGGGAGAAGGGUCAGGCAGUGGGUGCUGCUCACUGCCCUCCUGGGGCCGGUCUAAUCUGAUACUCCACAGGAAAGCUAUCGUCCACAGAGAUGCACUCCAAUGGCAGAAAGAAAAAUCAAAUUCCCCAUGCAAUGUGGUGGACCACAAGGAGUGUCCUUAGCGUGAUAACGCUGUUUGCCACACUGAGACCGAGUUCUGCUGAUAGCAGCUGCAGUGCAGACCACGAAUUACCGCAGAGGAACAGGAUCAGCAAGCUAGAAAUAAGGAACGAGAGCAGUGGGGAAGGUGCAGAGCAGGCUGUUGCACGCAGGACAGUGUGGUGCUGGGCUGUUGCCUGUUUGUUUUUCCAUGGUGCAGACCCCCCGUUUGGUCACGGAGGGAUUCUCCUUUUUCCUGACUGCUGGUCAUAACACUUUUUGCUGUUGUAUCUGCUGUUCUGUAAUACAAGGUGGGACUUUGUCCUGUAAGGAAGGGUGCUAGGAAUGUGCUUGUGAGUACCUGGGGAGCAGCCCUGAGUGGCCUUGGGCUUUGCCAAGUGCAUGAGCUGCAAGCAGCCUCCUCACCCCAAGAGCACUGUGGGUUUUGGUCUGUGCCUGCCAGCUCCAACGUGCUCCUUUCUUUGAACAGCUGAGUCUCUUAUCAAAGCCCAUACCCUGAGAAAAAGUUUCUCAAAGUUCUGUAACCGUUCUUCUUUAAAGUUGCAGAACAUUCUCCUUCCCGGAGCUUUUUUUCCCAGAAAUAGCUCAACCGUUUGGCUAAAAAUAAAUAAAAUCAAACAAAAACCCAGCCUCAGACAAGUGAAAUGUUCAUGUGUGCAGCUCAAGUUUGGAGAGGUUUGAAACUGCUGCAAGGAGGAGCUGGAAAGCACCGGUCAGAGUUAAAGCAGUGCUGCCAAUGAAACCCUCUGUGUUUAGAAGCUUCCUCUGAGAAUUAGAUAUGUGCAGGGGUUGCAUUUUAUUCUUUCUGACUCCAGUUGUAUUUUGCUGAGAAUAAUGAUGAUCUGCUGUGUUGUACGGGCAAAGUUUAGAGUCUGGCUUGUUGCUGAAUUGCAACUGCAAGCAUGGCAAUUUGCUUUUAACAGUGGAAACUAUAAAAGCAAACAGGCCCUCUAUUAAUAGCAGGGUUUUUGGACUUGUCUUUAAUGUAAUCCUGUUGCCCUUGAUUUAUGUGCUUUCUUUUUGGUUAAAGCUGCUGCUUUCUGUCUGUAGCUGUUCAUAUCCUCUCUGCUGGGGAGGUUUUUGAAAUUGUAUUGAGGAAAAGCAAAGGUUGCUGAGAACAUAAUCAGAGUCUGAACCAGAAGAAACCUUCACUGUGAAGCACUUGCUGAGGCUCAUGGCUGAGAGCAGCCUGCCUUUGGCAGCUUAUUCCUCAGUGCUGAUGGACUGCAUGCAGUUGAAGACUUUUUCCUUUUACAGAGAGGAGGAAGUGCUUGGGGCGUGUUGUCUAGGAAGGGUGGAUUUGUGUCUUCCAAGAAACUUGGAAUUGGGGUGAUGGAGUGUGUUCUUAAGCAACUUAUUUUUCCCAGGAGAUGUCAUUUCAGGGGAUUUUCCAAGGGAGUUUCUGUAUUUUAAUUGUGUUUAGGAGUGGAUGCCAAUGCUGGGAGCUCUGCCUGCGCCCAUCUGCAUGCUUGGCUGUUCCUUUCAUGGCCUUCUGCUGGAAAGUGCCCACCAGAGUCCCCCACUGAGCCCUGCUCCAGGGCAGUCAGUAGUUGCCAGCGUGCUGGUACAGCUUGAGCUUGCAAAAUACCUUACGUGAGACCUUGCACUGAAAGCUGCUUCUCCUGGUUCUUCAUGUCAGAAGAAUUCUGUGAUAGCUGAGGUCCACUGCUGGGAAGCACAGGCUGGGUUUUGCCUGGCAGGUUUUGCCAGUGCUGUGGCUCUGAGAGCACACAAGUUUUGGACUUUACCUGCGUAUUCUCUGCCCAGCCAGUGGACUUGGAUAUCUGGGCUUUGAUCUCUGCAAAUCAUUAAAUAUCACCACAGGGAAGCUGGGAGAACUGCAACCUCUGCUCCUCUUAUCUCUGAUGAGCAGACUGUCUUCUUUGUGCCCCUGUUUUAAUAGCCAAGAGGUUGCAGAGCUGUGGGCACCCCAGCCUUGAGGUUCUGUGCCCACUGGGGCUGAGGGUUAUUGCUGGGGCCUUUCACACCAUUGCACUUGUGUCAGCAGUGAGUGCUGUGUGAGCCGUGCAUUGGUGGGAUGGGGCUGCUUAGCUGCAUCUUAACCAUGAGGACCCCGUGCCCAUCAGGAGGUGUGUCCUGCUGAUGGGAAGGUGGGCAGUAAGUUCACAGUUGGUAAUUGUAAGCCACUUCUGGUAGUAAUGAUAUCAUAAAACCAGUUAGGUUGGAAAAGACGUAUGAGAUCACCAGGUCUAACCAUCACCUAAUGCUGCAGUCUGCAACCAAAUCCCUGGGUACCACCCUCACCCACCUCCAUGAAGAAAUUCUUCCUGAUAGCCAGUCUGUACCUCCCCAUGCAACUUGAGGCUAUUUCCUUGUAUUCUAUCAGUUGUCACAUCAGGAAAAUGAUUAAACAUCUUAGCAGGUCCUUACAGAGGGCACCAAAGCCUCCCUUCGUGCUGAGCAGCCCCAGUUCUCUCAACUGUUCCUUGUAACUCUUGUUUUCCAGUCUCAUCACCAGCUUUGUUGCUCUUCUCUAAAUCCUUCAGCAACAAAAAAUCCUUUUUAUAGCAAGAGGCCCAAACUAAGCACAGUGCUUGAGGUUGGGCCUCACUGGGGAGCACUGUCUGUGACCAGCUGCUCUAAUGCCAUUCGCAGUGAUAUUCCAUGCUAUCCUCUCUGUUGCAGUUUUGCUUUCCUGUGGUUCUUUGCACGCUAUCUGAAGGAUGGCAUUACUAACACAGUGCAGCCCAGCUGCUCUCCUUAACCACUGCACUGCAGUUUGCUGAAUUAUUUUGUCUUUUCUGGCGUCUGACCACCAGGUUAUUCACUGUCAUGUAAUCAAUGAAUACUGGAUCUAGUUAGCUAGUACUUUGCUUUUUGCAGUACGUAAGGCUCCAGGAUGUGUGUGAAUCUGUUACACAGAUUGCAGUCACCCAUUUGUGGUUACAAAGUGAUGCUUUCCCUGCAGUGCUGGUCUGCCUGGCCCUGGUGCAGUGCCUGAGUUUCUCUGUGCUGCAUGAGGCUGAUGCCUGCUGCAGUUACGGGAAGUUGCUUUGCUUUUGUUUUGUUUUGCUUUUUUGGUUUGCACAGGACAGUUUAUCUUGACCCACAGCACCUUUCUUCCUGCUGAGUGGUGGGAAGAUGUGGUGAAAGUGUUCCUCAGCCUGUCCAUGUGGUGAAAGCCUUGGAUGCUGCCUUUAGUCCUUUGCUUCCCGUGGAGUCCAGUGGGAUGCAGCUGUUUGGGAACAGCUUUUGUAACAACAGGAAGGGGAUAAAAAGACAUCACUUAAAUAAUUGCCUUGGUGUUUUCGUCCUUUGGGCACAUGGUUGGGGUCGUGGCAGACAGGUCCUGUGGAUUUCAGAUCUUACCUUCAGGGCUGCCAACUCCGCCAGACUGUGGCCAGAAUGUUGGCUGGAAAUUUUGCUUGAAGAUGCUUUGUCACAAAUGGAGGGGAAAAACAUCAAUAUGCAUUUAAAAUCUCCUUUCACUAUCCUGGAUGUGAAGUUGCUGCAGUAGCAAUACAUCUGCUUUCAAAAUGUUCUGUACUCUCUUGCUUUGUUGUAUCUUGUAUUGCAGCAGUCAUAGGCUGUAAAAGAAACUUGCCUUAACCAAGCACUCUAUCGAGCAGAAAACACCUCAUGAUUGCAAAUGUAUGCAUUUAAAAAAAAUCUUUGUAUGUUAAAAUUUAGAUGCGUUAAAUACAGA